RNAcentral lists this ribosomal RNA (61 nucleotides) under Escherichia coli. RNAcentral's name for it is "partial ribosomal RNA". The record is from RNAcentral. Lineage: Bacteria; Pseudomonadati; Pseudomonadota; Gammaproteobacteria; Enterobacterales; Enterobacteriaceae.
GUACACGGUGGAUGCCCUGGCAGUCAGAGGCGAUGAAGGACGUGCUAAUCUGCGAUAAGCG